CUGGGGUCCCAAGGGCAGUCCAGACAACCUGAACCUGUGACACUCACCCUGCCCACACACUCUCAGAGCUGCAGCUUUCACGGGGGUGACAUGAAUGCUUGUAAAUGAGCUUGCUGAAUGGGAGACCAAGAACGAUGAUAUUGAGCUGUUACUACAUGCCAGACAUUUAACCCUUUCAUCCAGGUUAUCUCAAUCAUUCCUUACAGAAAGGCUUUUGAGAUGUCCUUGCAACUGGAGGUGCCAUAUGAUACAGUUCUGCCCAAAGACAAGAAAGUGAAUGUCUGUUGAGGGCUUCCUAUAAGGCCAAUACAUACAGGUGUUCCCAACAACAGGACACAGCAAGAAGAUGGCUGUCUAUGAACCUGAAUAUGUCUAGCCCUCACCAGACACUGAAUCUGAGAGAACCUUGAUCUUGGAUUUCCAGCCUCCAGAGUUGUGAGAGCUAAAUUUCUGUUGUUUGUAAACCACCCAGUCUAUGGUAUUCUGUUACAGCAGCCUGAACAGGCUAAUAUAAAGACAAUAAGGAGAAUUUGCUAGCAAGAUGGAAGCCACAAUCUUUUGUAACCUAAUCACAGAAGUGACAGCCUAUCACUUUUGCCUUAUUGUGUUUAUUAGAAGCAAGUCACUAGGUCUAGCCUACCCUCAGGGGAAAGAAAUUCCACCAGGGCACAAAUGCCAGGAGAUGGGUAUCAGUGGAGACCAUCUGAGAAGUCUGCCUACUAAGGCUUUCCAUGUCUACCUCCGAACAAGGGAAUCUAUCAUGAUUAUUGCAUGUGCCCUGAGCACUGGGUUUAGAUGACAUUAAGCAGAAUCAAGGUAAUUGUUCAGGAAACCUUCAGCGGGAGAGUCUGCCCUGUGUCUAGUUUCUCUUUUGCUUCAGAAAAUACUUACUUGAAUUGUUUCUAACUUAAUAAUACUUUGUGUUACCUGAGGGUCUCUAAAGGCUUGGUAAGCAUCAGAACAAAAAAUUUCUUCUCCACUUUCUAGGAGUUCUUAGAUCAUUAUUUUGCUGGUACAGUAACUGGCUCUCCUAAUCCACUGUGAAGCUUGCUUAUUUACUGUGCGGAUGGUUUGGACCAUCAAAAGUGUAGAGUUAAAAUAACCAGGGGAGAGAAUAUUAGACCCAGAAUCAAAGUAGCCUAAAGUUACCUCUUUAGGUACCUUGUUUCUCCCAUGUGCAAACUGUAAGCUCAAGUGUCUUUUCUCAGGUGGUCACAAUGUAGUUUGAGACUAGAGGGAUUGUGGAUGAAGAUGCUCUGAGUUAUUUAGAAGAGAUGCACUACAUCAGUAAUGGAUGGUUGUUAUUUGAUUAAAAUGGCUAAUUUUAAAAUCUUCAUUUUCUCUCAGUUAUAUUGCUCCUAUGUUAUGUCAAACACUGCUCAUGUCUUGCCUUGUUCCCCUCUCCCUCUGUUCUGCAUGCUACAGCUGUAAUAGUGUUUAUGAGAUGCUAAACUGACCAUAUCACUCCUCUACUAAAACUUUACAAUGAUAUGCAAAGGUCAUCAUACUAGAGUGUCAA
This 1519-nucleotide long non-coding RNA is filed under the name Homo sapiens (human). RNAcentral describes it as "HSALNT0303218". Lineage: Eukaryota; Metazoa; Chordata; Mammalia; Primates; Hominidae. The record is from RNAcentral.